ACUCCUGCGGGAGGCAGCAGUGGGGAAUUUUGGACAAUGGGCGAAAGCCUGAUCCAGCCAUGCCGCGUGCAGGAUGAAGGCCUUCGGGUUGUAAACUGCUUUUGUACGGAACGAAACGGCCUUUUCUAAUAAAGAGGGCUAAUGACGGUACCGUAAGAAUAAGCACCGGCUAACUACGUGCCAGCAGCCGCGGUAAUACGUAGGGUGCAAGCGUUAAUCGGAAUUACUGGGCGUAAAGCGUGCGCAGGCGGUUAUGUAAGACAGUUGUGAAAUCCCCGGGCUCAACCUGGGAACUGCAUCUGUGACGGCAUAGCUAGAGUACGGUAGAGGGGGAUGGAAUUCCGCGUGUAGCAGUGAAAUGCGUAGAUAUGCGGAGGAACACCGAUGGCGAAGGCAAUCCCCUGGACCUGUACUGACGCUCAUGCACGAAAGCGUGGGGAGCAAACAGGAUUAGAAACCCUAGUAGUCCCAU
RNAcentral lists this ribosomal RNA (472 nucleotides) under uncultured organism. RNAcentral describes it as "partial 16S ribosomal RNA". It matches the Rfam family "Bacterial small subunit ribosomal RNA", at positions 335 to 798 of the family's 1533-position model. The record is from RNAcentral.